GUGUGACUGCGUACCUUUUGUAUAAUGGGUCAGCGACUUAUAUUCUGUAGCAAGGUUAACCGAAUAGGGGAGCCGAAGGGAAACCGAGUCUUAACUGGGCGUUAAGUUGCAGGGUAUAGACCCGAAACCCGGUGAUCUAGCCAUGGGCAGGUUGAAGGUUGGGUAACACUAACUGGAGGACCGAACCGACUAAUGUUGAAAAAUUAGCGGAUGACUUGUGGCUGGGGGUGAAAGGCCAAUCAAACCGGGAGAUAGCUGGUUCUCCCCGAAAGCUAUUUAGGUAGCGCCUCGUGAAUUCAUCUCCGGGGGUAGAGCACUGUUUCGGCAAGGGGGUCAUCCCGACUUACCAACCCGAUGCAAACUGCGAAUACCGGAGAAUGUUAUCACGGGAGACACACGGCGGGUGCUAACGUCCGUCGUGAAGAGGGAAACAACCCAGACCGCCAGCUAAGGUCCCAAAGUCAUGGUUAAGUGGGAAACGAUGUGGGAAGGCCCAGACAGCCAGGAUGUUGGCUUAGAAGCAGCCAUCAUUUAAAGAAAGCGUAAUAGCUCACUGGUCGAGUCGGCCUGCGCGGAAGAUGUAACGGGGCUAAACCAUGCACCGAAGCUGCGGCAGCGACGCUUAUGCGUUGUUGGGUAGGGGAGCGUUCUGUAAGCCUGCGAAGGUGUGCUGUGAGGCAUGCUGGAGGUAUCAGAAGUGCGAAUGCUGACAUAAGUAACGAUAAAGCGGGUGAAAAGCCCGCUCGCCGGAAGACCAAGGGUUCCUGUCCAACGUUAAUCGGGGCAGGGUGAGUCGACCCCUAAGGCGAGGCCGAAAGGCGUAGUCGAUGGGAAACAGGUUAAUAUUCCUGUACUUGGUGUUACUGCGAAGGGGGGACGGAGAAGGCUAUGUUGGCCGGGCGACGGUUGUCCCGGUUUAAGCGUGUAGGCUGGUUUUCCAGGCAAAUCCGGAAAAUCAAGGCUGAGGCGUGAUGACGAGGCACUACGGUGCUGAAGCAACAAAUGCCCUGCUUCCAGGAAAAGCCUCUAAGCAUCAGGUAACAUCAAAUCGUACCCCAAACCGACACAGGUGGUCAGGUAGAGAAUACCAAGGCGCUUGAGAGAACUCGGGUGAAGGAACUAGGCAAAAUGGUGCCGUAACUUCGGGAGAAGGCACGCUGAUAUGUAGGUGAAGCGACUUGCUCGUGGAGCUGAAAUCAGUCGAAGAUACCAGCUGGCUGCAACUGUUUAUUAAAAACACAGCACUGUGCAAACACGAAAGUGGACGUAUACGGUGUGACGCCUGCCCGGUGCCGGAAGGUUAAUUGAUGGGGUUAGCGCAAGCGAAGCUCUUGAUCGAAGCCCCGGUAAACGGCGGCCGUAACUAUAACGGUCCUAAGGUAGCGAAAUUCCUUGUCGGGUAAGUUCCGACCUGCACGAAUGGCGUAAUGAUGGCCAGGCUGUCUCCACCCGAGACUCAGUGAAAUUGAACUCGCUGUGAAGAUGCAGUGUACCCGCGGCAAGACGGAAAGACCCCGUGAACCUUUACUAUAGCUUGACACUGAACAUUGAGCCUUGAUGUGUAGGAUAGGUGGGAGGCUUUGAAGUGUGGACGCCAGUCUGCAUGGAGCCGACCUUGAAAUACCACCCUUUAAUGUUUGAUGUUCUAACGUUGACCCGUAAUCCGGGUUGCGGACAGUGUCUGGUGGGUAGUUUGACUGGGGCGGUCUCCUCCUAAAGAGUAACGGAGGAGCACGAAGGUUGGCUAAUCCUGGUCGGACAUCAGGAGGUUAGUGCAAUGGCAUAAGCCAGCUUGACUGCGAGCGUGACGGNAGGCCGAAAGGCGUAGUCGAUGGGAAACAGGUUAAUAUUCCUGUACUUGGUGUUACUGCGAAGGGGGGACGGAGAAGGCUAUGUUGGCCGGGCGACGGUUGUCCCGGUUUAAGCGUGUAGGCUGGUUUUCCAGGCAAAUCCGGAAAAUCAAGGCUGAGGCGUGAUGACGAGGCACUACGGUGCUGAAGCAACAAAUGCCCUGCUUCCAGGAAAAGCCUCUAAGCAUCAGGUAACAUCAAAUCGUACCCCAAACCGACACAGGUGGUCAGGUAGAGAAUACCAAGGCGCUUGAGAGAACUCGGGUGAAGGAACUAGGCAAAAUGGUGCCGUAACUUCGGGAGAAGGCACGCUGAUAUGUAGGUGAAGCGACUUGCUCGUGGAGCUGAAAUCAGUCGAAGAUACCAGCUGGCUGCAACUGUUUAUUAAAAACACAGCACUGUGCAAACACGAAAGUGGACGUAUACGGUGUGACGCCUGCCCGGUGCCGGAAGGUUAAUUGAUGGGGUCAGCGCAAGCGAAGCUCUUGAUCGAAGCCCCGGUAAACGGCGGCCGUAACUAUAACGGUCCUAAGGUAGCGAAAUUCCUUGUCGGGUAAGUUCCGACCUGCACGAAUGGCGUAAUGAUGGCCAGGCUGUCUCCACCCGAGACUCAGUGAAAUUGAACUCGCUGUGAAGAUGCAGUGUACCCGCGGCAAGACGGAAAGACCCCGUGAACCUUUACUAUAGCUUGACACUGAACAUUGAGCCUUGAUGUGUAGGAUAGGUGGGAGGCUUUGAAGUGUGGACGCCAGUCUGCAUGGAGCCGACCUUGAAAUACCACCCUUUAAUGUUUGAUGUUCUAACGUUGACCCGUAAUCCGGGUUGCGGACAGUGUCUGGUGGGUAGUUUGACUGGGGCGGUCUCCUCCUAAAGAGUAACGGAGGAGCACGAAGGUUGGCUAAUCCUGGUCGGACAUCAGGAGGUUAGUGCAAUGGCAUAAGCCAGCUUGACUGCGAGCGUGACGGCGCGAGCAGGUGCGAAAGCAGGUCAUAGUGAUCCGGUGGUUCUGAAUGGAAGGGCCAUCGCUCAACGGAUAAAAGGUACUCCGGGGAUAACAGGCUGAUACCGCCCAAGAGUUCAUAUCGACGGCGGUGUUUGGCACCUCGAUGUCGGCUCAUCACAUCCUGGGGCUGAAGUAGGUCCCAAGGGUAUGGCUGUUCGCCAUUUAAAGUGGUACGCGAGCUGGGUUUAGAACGUCGUGAGACAGUUCGGUCCCUAUCUGCCGUGGGCGCUGGAGAACUGAGGGGGGCUGCUCCUAGUACGAGAGGACCGGAGUGGACGCAUCACUGGUGUUCGGGUUGUCAUGCCAAUGGCACUGCCCGGUAGCUAAAUGCGGAAGAGAUAAGUGCUGAAAGCAUCUAAGCACGAAACUUGCCCCGAGAUGAGUUCUCCCUGACUCCUUGAGAGUCCUGAAGGAACGUUGAAGACGACGACGUUGAUAGGCCGGGUGUGUAAGCGCAGCGAUGCGUUGAGCUAACCGGUACUAAUGAACCGUGAGGCUUAACCUU
RNAcentral lists this ribosomal RNA (3358 nucleotides) under Escherichia coli. RNAcentral describes it as "bacterial LSU rRNA". It matches the Rfam family "Bacterial large subunit ribosomal RNA", at positions 591 to 2925 of the family's 2925-position model. The record is from RNAcentral. Lineage: Bacteria; Pseudomonadati; Pseudomonadota; Gammaproteobacteria; Enterobacterales; Enterobacteriaceae.